Poecilia latipinna (sailfin molly) is the source of this 581-nucleotide long non-coding RNA. RefSeq lists it as uncharacterized. The record is from RefSeq and is a predicted model, not a curated record. The transcript has 3 exons. NCBI's taxonomy places the organism in Eukaryota, Metazoa, Chordata, Actinopteri, Cyprinodontiformes, Poeciliidae.
CUCUGGGACGUUGACGUCUAACCUUCAUGAACAUGCUGAAUCCGGUCUUCAGCAGGUCCGUCAGCCCUCCUGACAUGUGUUCGAUGUCGGGGCAUUCGGGUCGGUCGGGGUGGAAAACUUCCUCCAGGAUCUGUCGCAGGAACGGGCGGUACGAGGCCUGGAGGGAAUGCAAACACACGGGAAGGACAGUUACGGACCAAAACAACACUUCAAGCGGCGAGAGCCGUGAUUAACUCUCUUUGUAUACGAUUAAUACGAAGCCCACUUUCCUCUGUGCUCAUCAUCCGCUUCGUAGUGUUGUGUAAAAUAUCUCUCCACAGAGUUAUAAACAGCUCAUCUCGGCCAAACAGCCUGUUGACUUAUGAGUCACGUCAGGAAGAGGAGCUCAAACACCUCUGCAGCCAAGACAGAAAAAGCCAGUAGAUGUGGCUAAAAGCAGAAAUUACGAGUGGGCGACGAAGCGGAUAAAUCAAUUUAGGAAUCAACACUUGGAAACGAAAUAUGAAACGAGAGGCUGUUUUAAAGCCGGAGAUGUGAGGAUAUUUCUGGAUUUAUGAAAAUUUAGCGCAUAUUUCGUCACA